This is a long non-coding RNA of Ailuropoda melanoleuca (giant panda), 1014 nucleotides long. RefSeq lists it as uncharacterized. NCBI's taxonomy places the organism in Eukaryota, Metazoa, Chordata, Mammalia, Carnivora, Ursidae. The record is from RefSeq and is a predicted model, not a curated record. The transcript has 3 exons.
AGCUGCGCAGACGGUCUCCAGCGCGGCUGCCUGAGGGCGGCGUUUGUGUUGACUUGGCUCUGCUGUCCCUCGGGGAGGCGGGCCUGCCUGUGACAGCAACGGCCCCCUCGUCCUCAGGUGUGUGCCUGGGCUCAGCAAACGGCGGGACGGCGGCGCGGACGACAUGGCGGUGCCUGCAGUGCCCGCGCGUGUCCCGGGAACCACCUCACCGCUGUGGGCUUACAGCUCCCACCCGCACUCUCCCUGCACUUUCUUACACUCCGCGCGCACCUCUGUAGCUAGUCCCCUAUCCAGCCUUCCUCAAAUGAUCGUAAUCGCGGGGGCCACGUGUUUUUCUGCUGGGCCGGGACCAACAUGGAAGCUCACCUGCGGGCUCAGGAAAGCAGCUACUCACAUCUCCAGCGGAGCUCGCUGCCAGGUAUUUUGGAGAAUGCACGUGUUAUUUUUUGUAAUGAGAAAACAAUACAGUGGACUUCAGUUUGGAAAAAAAAAAAACUGUUUGGAGUUGGGGACAGGGCUGUUAGCAUGCUUCUCCACAUGAAGGCUUCCUCCCUUACCCUUACCUCCCACGAGCCUAAGUUUUUGAGAACCUAACUCGACCUUAGACUUUGCAUGUACUAUCUCUGCACACCAUUUUGCUGUGGGCCUCUGAGAGACCAAGAUGAAAAGCACUGCCUAAACUGUCAUUAAAAGUGCUAGAGAGCUUUGUCAAUUACUCUCAUGAUUCCUGUUGCUCUUUGGACUUGUUUAUCAGACCCCACCUAGAGUGCCUGCCUUGUCAGUCUGACCUGAUAUUGAACCUAGUUCACUCUGCCCACCCCCUGGUGUCCACCCUCUUGGAGUUCUCCCUCAUGGCUGGCUCCACCCUGAGCAGCACAAAUCGUGCCCCGUUGCCUUGUGCCAGAGAAAGCCCAGACCUGGCCUCAGGCCUUGGCUUUGCCCUGACUUGGCUGCGCGACCCUGGGACAGUACUUCUGCUCUCUGGGACUGUUUCCCUCUACGUACAAAGUGGAA